ACUGCUGGCAGGAAUGGCCUGUCAGGACUGACUGUUUGGGGAUGGGUGUCUAGCCACAGCCCAGCCAAGGAGAACGAACUGGGAGAGGAUCAACACGUCUUCGUAAAUGGGGUUAAUCCUCAGAUACAGACCAUGAUCGAGGUGAAGCAAGAAGUAUCAUGACUUCAAGCAAUGUGUGACGGCAAAGGCAAUGUAGAACACCCAGAGUGGGCAGAGGACUGGAGAAGGAGGAAAAGUCCCUAUCACUUAGCAAUUUAUCAUCCAUGAAAACAAGAUUGUAGAAGAAGCAAGCCUGUUAUCAUGGACUUCAAAAUGGAGGAUUCUGGUCAAGGGAUUGAUGCACAUCAAGAAAACACAGAUAUCCCAAAUCAUUUUUAGUUGCAUACGCAGCCCACAGAACUAUCCAAGCGGCAUCCUGUCUGCAGACACCAGGGCAGCUACUUCCACACUACAGUUUGAUGAGGGAGGUUUGGGUCAUGCACUGGGUUUGCACAGCGUACAGAUGUUAUGGGCAAUGAAUGUCUGAAAAUAGCAAGGAAGGGAGCUUUGCUGCCAGUGAAGGUGUCCACCAGGACCUUUUACCCUAAAGUGUGGAAGAGCUGGCAAUUGAUAUCCCAGCUCUGAAAACCUGUUUGCUCCAUCACUUUAACUUGACUGAAGUCCAGCUAGUAAGUUUGAUUGAAGAUGUUGAGGUACGCAAGCUAUAGAGAAAUCCAACACAAAGCGGCUGCAAAACCUAACUUGUACCCUGGACAAAGCAAUACAGACAAAGGCACCUUCUAACCUCGGAUACUGCUGCUUGUAAUUAAUCUUUUGAGUUGCAAUUGGAAAGCUCGAUAGGGGUAGGUUUCACAUCUCUCCGGAAUGUCCUGCAGUCUGUGACAAUGAGCGGUUCUACUUCUCUGCUGGACCCUCUGCUCUGCAGCUGCAAGGUGAAACGCCAACAGAAAGACCUUCAGCUAACGGAGCAGGGCCAUAGCUACCUCUUGAUGUCUGACCUUUGGUAGUUCCAGAGCUCAAUUCACUCCCCUCCCCUGGGCCUUAGCAAUCGGAUAGCCAGAGGAACCAAAGCACAAAGGAAGAGUUCAUGGGUAAGAAGUAGAAAGAGAAAGCACCUUAGCACUCGUACGUAUAUACAAUAAACAUUUAUUGCACCA
Long non-coding RNA from Callorhinchus milii (elephant shark), 1157 nucleotides. RefSeq lists it as uncharacterized. The transcript is spliced from 3 exons. The record is from RefSeq and is a predicted model, not a curated record. NCBI's taxonomy places the organism in Eukaryota, Metazoa, Chordata, Chondrichthyes, Chimaeriformes, Callorhinchidae.